UUAUCACUGUUGCAUCCUGUUUUUGCAUUCUUGUUAACGGUUUCACUUAACUAGAAAACCACCACAUCCCUCAUUUGCUGAGUCAAUCAGUCAGGGUUCCUUUUUUAUUAACUAUGUUCAUAUUUGUCAUGUUGAUUAUGAGACCAAAGCUCAUGGAAGAACCUUCCGAAGACCCUUGAAGAGCAACCUAAGGAUGGAAACCUCUACUCUCUAUAAGUUAACAUGAAGACAGCAGCAAAAUGUGGUUGUGACAGACAGGGAAGUGACAGAUAAGUUUGUUUAAAUUAAACAAAUUGCUUGAUCUGCUUUUAUGGCUAUUUAUUUAUUUAUAAAGCCUGUAAUAGGCAUGUAAUAAAUGUGCUAUUACAAUCUUAGACAAUAUUAGUUGUUAAAAGAUUUUGUGACUCCUACUGAUUCUGUCUAGAAAUAAUUAUCAUAUACUAUACAUUUAGUAUACAGUUAAACAAUAUGUGUUUAAUUUAUAAAGUGGCAUAAUUAUUAUUUAUAUUACAAUUUUAUUUUGAUAGCCAUAUAUUUUUUAUUCGUAAUAAUAUUUUGUUGCUAGUGUUUGGAGGACCCUCGUUAGAUGGCGCACCCUCUUGUUGUCAGUUGAGAAAAAUCCCGGUUCUCAUGGGUACAAUAUUCUGCCACCAUCAUCAACCCAUAGUGGGUCAAAUUAAGACCCCUGUCCCGUGUAUGGAAAAUCCUAGAGGGUCGGGUGGAGUGAUAAUAAAUGACCUGGAGACGUUUACCAUGAACAAACAACACCUGGUGACAGUUCUUCUCUCUAGAGGUGAAAAACUCCAUCAGACCAGUUCUAUUGUAACAGCAAGUGAAGACAAGAAAGAGAAAUGCCUCCCAAGACCGUAACAUUUCACCCUUUAUUCUUCAAAUAAAGGCAUUUUACCAUCA
Long non-coding RNA from Onychostoma macrolepis, 912 nucleotides. RefSeq lists it as uncharacterized. The record is from RefSeq and is a predicted model, not a curated record. NCBI's taxonomy places the organism in Eukaryota, Metazoa, Chordata, Actinopteri, Cypriniformes, Cyprinidae. The transcript is spliced from 4 exons.